GUCAGGACAGAAGGAGGAGUUUAGCACAGACUCUAUACAGCUGAGUAGAUCUGAACAUCACACAACACUGUGUGGAGCAGCUGCUCUGUUUUUAGCUUGUUCUUACUAGAUCAGUGAGUGAACAUGUUGAUCUAUAUUGUUAUACUGCUGUCAUCAACUGAAGGUUGCGGAGCCUCAGAAGUCAUUACUCCAAAAAGAAACAGAGAAUUUGCUCUUGAGGGUGACAUUAAUGUGACACUCUCCUGUAACUACAGCGGUUCUGCUUUUGGUGUUCACUGGUAUCGUCAAUAUGCAGGUUCACCACCACAGUUCCUCAUACUGGAAUAUUCAGGGAUAACAACUCCAGCUAAUCCACCCGUUCCAGGAAUAACCAUCAAUCACAGAAAAACAGAACGCCAUGUGGAUCUGAUCAUCUCCUCUGCUGCUGUAUCAGACUCUGCUCUGUACUACUGUGCUCUGCAGCCCACACUGACAGGAAAACAGACUGCACUGUACAAAAACCUACCAGUAUUUUGGGAAAGUAUUAAAGCAUGUCACUGAAAUAUGUUGUAACUUGUAAUUUAUCUGUAUCUACACUGUAAAAAAUGUGGAGUAGGAUUUACUUGAAAAAAGCUUGCUAAGUUUUUUCACUCAGAAAAUUCUAUUAAAUUUACAAACAUUUGCUAAGUAAAAG
RNAcentral lists this long non-coding RNA (673 nucleotides) under Carassius auratus (goldfish). RNAcentral describes it as "lncRNA (ENSCARG00000041753.1)". The record is from RNAcentral. Lineage: Eukaryota; Metazoa; Chordata; Actinopteri; Cypriniformes; Cyprinidae.